Molecule: ribosomal RNA, 363 nt
Filed under: Devario devario (Sind dario)
Lineage: Eukaryota; Metazoa; Chordata; Actinopteri; Cypriniformes; Danionidae
Description: partial small subunit ribosomal RNA
Source: RNAcentral
UACAAUGUCCGCCCGGCCCUACGAGCACCAGCUUAAAACCCAAAGACCUGACGGUGCCUUAGAUCCCCCUAGAGGAGCCUGUUCUAGAACCGAUUAUCCCCGUUAAACCUCACCACCCCUAGCAAUAUCAGCCUAUAUACCACCGUCGCCAGCUUACCCUGUGAAGGAAUAAAAGUAAGCACAAUGGGUAAAACCCAAUACGUCAGGUCGAGGUGUAGCAAAUGGAGUGGGAAGAAAUGGGCUACAUUUUCUACCACAGAAUAAAACGGAUACGCAACAUGAAAACCAAUGCUUGAAGGAGGAUUUAGUAGUAAAAGGGAAAAAGAGAGUCCCUUUGAACCCGGCUCUAAGGCGCGUACACAC